GACGAACGCUGGCGGCGUGCUUAACACAUGCAAGUCGAACGGAAAGGCCCUGCUUUUGUGGGUUUCUCGAUUGGCGAACGGGUGAGUAACACGUGAGUAUCCUGCCCUUGACUUUGGGAUAACUUCAGGGAACUGGGGCUCAUACCGGAUAGGAGCUCCUGCUGCAUGGGGGGGGUUGGAAAGUGUCGGCGGUGGGGGAUGGACUGGCUGGUUAUCGGCUUGUUGGGGGGGUAGUGGAGUCCCAGGGCUUCGAAGGGUAGCCGGCCUGGGAGGGUGACCGGCCACAUUGGGACUGCGAUACGGCCCAGACUCCAACGGGCGGCAGCGGGGGGAAAUAUUGCACAACGGGCGGAAGCCUGUUGCAGCAACGCCGCGUGCGGGAAGACGUCCUUCGGGUUGUAAACCGCUUUCGCCUGUGACGAAGCGUGAGUGACGGUACUGGGUAAAGAAGCACCGGCUAACUACGUG
This 468-nucleotide ribosomal RNA is filed under the name uncultured bacterium. RNAcentral's name for it is "partial 16S ribosomal RNA". It matches the Rfam family "Bacterial small subunit ribosomal RNA", at positions 28 to 507 of the family's 1533-position model. The record is from RNAcentral.